UUGGGGUGUAGCCAAGUGGUAAGGCAACGGACUUUGACUCCGCUAUUCGCAGGUUCGAAUCCUCCCACCCCAGA
RNAcentral lists this transfer RNA (74 nucleotides) under Caloglossa monosticha. RNAcentral's name for it is "tRNA-Gln". It matches the Rfam family "tRNA". From Rfam's summary of the family: Transfer RNA (tRNA) molecules are approximately 80 nucleotides in length. Their secondary structure includes four short double-helical elements and three loops (D, anti-codon, and T loops). RNAcentral also lists the same sequence under 1 other name. Lineage: Eukaryota; Rhodophyta; Florideophyceae; Ceramiales; Delesseriaceae. The record is from RNAcentral.